This 494-nucleotide ribosomal RNA is filed under the name uncultured bacterium. RNAcentral's name for it is "partial 16S ribosomal RNA". It matches the Rfam family "Bacterial small subunit ribosomal RNA", at positions 28 to 507 of the family's 1533-position model. The record is from RNAcentral.
GACGAACGCUGGCGGCGUGCUUAACACAUGCAAGUCGAACGGUGAAGCGCCUUCCUUGUUGGUGGGGGUGGAUGAGUGGCGAACGGAGGAGUAACACGUCAGUAACCUGCCCCCUUCUGCUGGAUAACCGCAUGAAAGUGUGGCUAAUACGGGCUACUCUGGGUCUGUUGCAUUAUGGGUCUGGGAAAGAUAUUGUUGCGGUGGGCGAUGGGCUCGCGGCCUAUCAGCUUGGUGGUGGGGUGAUGGGCUACCAAGGCGGUGACGGGUAGCCGGCGUGAGAGGGUGGACGGUCAGACUGGGACUGAGACACGGCCGGGACUGCGACGGGGGGCAGCAUCGGGGGAUAGUGAACAGUGGGGGGAAGCCUGAUGCGGCGGCGACGCGGGAGGGAUGGAGGCCUUCGGGUUGUGAACCUCUUUCGCUAGUGAAGCAGGUCUGGCUCGUAUGUGGGUGGGUUGACGGUAGCUGGAGAAGAAGCGCCGGCUAACUACGUG